RNAcentral lists this unclassified non-coding RNA (378 nucleotides) under soil metagenome. RNAcentral's name for it is "partial contains 5.8S ribosomal RNA, internal transcribed spacer 2, and large subunit ribosomal RNA". The stretch from base 1 to 120 matches the Rfam family "5.8S ribosomal RNA", at positions 35 to 154 of the family's 154-position model. The record is from RNAcentral.
GAUGAAGAACGCAGCGAAAUGCGAUAAGUAAUGCGAAUUGCAGAAUUCAGUGAAUCAUCGAAUCUUUGAACGCACCUUGCGCUCCUUGGUAUUCCGAGGAGCAUGCCUGUUUGAGUGUCAUUAAAUUCUCAACCUUUAUCUUUUAUUGAUAAAUGGCUUGGACUUGGGGGUUUGCUGGCGAAAGUCAGCUCCUCUGAAAUGUAUUAGCUGGUUGCCUUGUGUGAACUUGUCUAUUGGUGUGAUAAUUAUCUACGCCGUGGGCUGUUUGCCGUUUUAGCACUGCUUCUAACUGUCUGUUAACUCGGACAAUAUAUGACAAUUUGACCUCAAAUCAGGUAGGACUACCCGCUGAACUUAAGCAUAUCAAUAAGCGGAGGA